UACAGAGGCCUCGAGCGUUAGGCGGAAUCACUGGGCUUAAAGCGUGUGUAGGCGGAUGCCUAAGUACCUUGUGAAAUCCCACGGCUCACCCGUGGAACGGCUGGGUAUACUGGGUGUCUUGAGCCACUUAGGGGCUGCCGGAACAAAUGGUGGAGCGGUGAAAUGCGUAGAGAUCGGAAAGAACACCAACGGCGAAAGCACUCUGCUGGGCCGACACUGACACUGAGAGACGAAAGCUAGGGGAGCGAAUGGG
Molecule: ribosomal RNA, 253 nt
Filed under: uncultured bacterium
Lineage: Bacteria
Description: partial 16S ribosomal RNA
Rfam family: Bacterial small subunit ribosomal RNA
Source: RNAcentral